Pungitius pungitius (ninespine stickleback) is the source of this 302-nucleotide long non-coding RNA. RefSeq lists it as uncharacterized. The record is from RefSeq and is a predicted model, not a curated record. Lineage: Eukaryota; Metazoa; Chordata; Actinopteri; Perciformes; Gasterosteidae. The transcript is spliced from 3 exons.
CCUGGACUAAUGCCAGAACAGACUGCAGAGACCAAGGAGCUGAUCUGGUGAUCAUAGACUCACUUGAAGAACAGAAAUUCAUCUCAGACAUCGUCAAAAGUCAUACUUGGAUUGGUUUGAGUGACAGAGAGAUCGAGGGCACCUGGAAAUGGGUUGAUGGAACUCCACUGACUGGAGCGUAUUGGGGCGCUAAACCUGGUUCAGUUCAACCUGAUGACGCUGGAGGUAACGAGGAUUGUGUUGAAAUAGUUGUCAGCUGGAACUCAGACAGAAACUGGAACGAUAGAGACUGUGCUUACCCU